UUGCUUUAGCAGUAUGGAUGCCAAAACUGGAAUGAUUCAGAGAUGAUUAAUUAGCAUGGCCCCUGCUUAAAUAAUAUACACAUUUGAGAAGCGUUCUAUAUUAGA
Mastomys coucha (southern multimammate mouse) is the source of this 105-nucleotide small nuclear RNA. The record is from RefSeq and is a predicted model, not a curated record. NCBI's taxonomy places the organism in Eukaryota, Metazoa, Chordata, Mammalia, Rodentia, Muridae.